GUGGGGAAUAUUCCGCAAUGGACGAAAGUCUGACGGAGCAACGCCGCGUGAGUGAUGAAGGUUUUCGGACUGUAAAGCUCUGUUGUUUAGGACGAAAGUGCCUGUUGCAAAUAGUUACAGGUAUUGACGGUACUGAACGAGGAAGCCACGGCUAACUACGUGCCAGCAGCCGCGGUAAUACGUAGGUGGCAAGCGUUGUCCGGAAUUAUUGGGCGUAAAGAGCAUGUAGGCGGGAAUCUAAGUCUGUUGUGAAAAUGCGGGGCUCAACCCCGUAUUGCGAUGGAAACUGGGUUUCUUGAGUGCAGGAGAGGAGAGGGGAAUUCCCAGUGUAGCGGUGAAAUGCGUAGAUAUUGGGAGGAACACCAGUGGCGAAGGCGCCUGUCUGGACUGUGUCUGACGCUGAGAUGCGAAAGCCAGGGUAGCGAACGGGAUUAGAAACCCUUGUAGUCC
Molecule: ribosomal RNA, 450 nt
Filed under: uncultured bacterium
Lineage: Bacteria
Description: partial 16S ribosomal RNA
Rfam family: Bacterial small subunit ribosomal RNA
Source: RNAcentral